RNAcentral lists this non-coding RNA (19 nucleotides) under Arabidopsis thaliana (thale cress). Lineage: Eukaryota; Viridiplantae; Streptophyta; Magnoliopsida; Brassicales; Brassicaceae. The record is from RNAcentral.
CGGAGGACCGAGUGCCGCU